This 70-nucleotide transfer RNA is filed under the name Siganus guttatus (goldlined spinefoot). RNAcentral's name for it is "tRNA-Pro". It matches the Rfam family "tRNA". Rfam says of the family: Transfer RNA (tRNA) molecules are approximately 80 nucleotides in length. Their secondary structure includes four short double-helical elements and three loops (D, anti-codon, and T loops). Further hydrogen bonds mediate the characteristic L-shaped molecular structure. tRNAs have two regions of fundamental functional importance: the anti-codon, which is responsible for specific mRNA codon recognition, and the 3' end, to which the tRNAs corresponding amino acid is attached (by aminoacyl-tRNA synthetases). tRNAs cope with the degeneracy of the genetic code in two manners: having more than one tRNA (with a specific anti-codon) for a particular amino acid; and 'wobble' base-pairing, i.e. permitting non-standard base-pairing at the 3rd anti-codon position. RNAcentral also lists the same sequence under 3 other names. Lineage: Eukaryota; Metazoa; Chordata; Actinopteri; Siganidae. The record is from RNAcentral.
CAAAGAGUAGUUUAAUUAAGAAUACUAGCUUUGGGAGUUAGUGGUAGGGGUUAGAAUCCCUUCUCUUUGA